ACCCUGUCACUGAUGAUGAUCUUAUUUUAUAUAUUCUCGGAGGACUUGAACAAGAAUAUGAUGCCGCAGUUGUCUUGGUCACUACUAGGGUUGAGUUAAUUUCAUUAGUCGAUCUCCAUGGUUUACUUUUAAGUCAAGAGU
Non-coding RNA from Capsicum annuum, 141 nucleotides. The record is from Rfam. NCBI's taxonomy places the organism in Eukaryota, Viridiplantae, Streptophyta, Magnoliopsida, Solanales, Solanaceae.